ACGGCGAGUGAAGCGGCAACAGCUCAAAUUUGAAACCUGCCAACCGGCCGGAUUGUAAUUUGUAGAGGAUGCUUUGGAGUAGGCACUGAUCUAAGUUUCUUGGAACAGUACGUCACAGAGGGUGAGAAUCCCGUUCGUGGUCGGCUGCCUGCUUCGUGUAAAGCUCCUUCGACGAGUCGAGUUGUUUGGGAAUGCAGCUCAAAAUGGGUGGUAAAUUUCAUCUAAAGCUAAAUAUUGGCCAGAGACCGAUAGCGCACAAGUAGAGUGAUCGAAAGAUGAAAAGCACUUUGGAAAGAGAGUUAAACAGCACGUGAAAUUGUUGAAAGGGAAGCGCUUGCAAUCAGACUUGCGCGUAGGUAAUCAAGGGCGGUUCGCUGCCCUGCACUUGCCUGCGCUCAGGCCAGCAUCAGUUUUGGGGGUGGGAUAAAGGCCGUGGGAAUGUGGCUCUUCGGAGUGUUAUAGCCCUCGGUGCCAUGCCGCCUCCCGAGACUGAGGACCGCGCUUCGGCUAGGAUGCUGGCGUAAUGAUUGUAAGCGACCCGUCUUGAAACACGGACCAAGGAGUCUAACAUCUAUGCGAGUGUUUGGGUGUCAAACCCACACGCGGAAUGAAAGUGAACGGAGGUGAGAGCCCUUGAGGGUGCAUCAUCGACCGAUCCUGAUGUCUUCGGAUGGAUUUGAGUAUGAGCAUAGCUGUUGGGACCCGAAAGAUGGUGAACUAUGCCUGAAUAGGGUGAAGCCAGAGGAAACUCUGGUGGAGGCUCGCAGCGGUUCUGACGUGCAAAUCGAUCGUCAAAUUUGGGCAUAGGGGCGAAAGACUAAUCGAACCA
This 829-nucleotide ribosomal RNA is filed under the name Patellina sp. P10-1. Its description in RNAcentral is "eukaryotic LSU rRNA". It matches the Rfam family "Eukaryotic large subunit ribosomal RNA", at positions 86 to 942 of the family's 3401-position model. Lineage: Eukaryota; Fungi; Ascomycota. The record is from RNAcentral.